ACAUCCAGAGAAUUUAGCAGAGAUGCUUUAGUGCCUUCGGGAACUCUGAGACAGGUGCUGCAUGGCUGUCGUCAGCUCGUGUUGUGAAAUGUUGGGUUAAGUCCCGNAACGAGCGCAACCCUUAUCCUUUGUUGCCAGCACGUAAUGGUGGGAACUCAAAGGAGACUGCCGGUGAUAAACCGGAGGAGGGUGGGGAUGACGUCAAGUCAUCAUGGCCCUUACGAGUAGGGCUACACACGUGCUACAAUGGCGCAUACAAAGAGAAGCGACCUCGCGAGAGCAAGCGGGACCUCAUAAAGUGCGUCGUAGUCCGGAUUGGAGUCUGCAACUCGACUCCAUGAAGUCGGAAUCGCUAGUAAUCGUAAAUCAGAAUGUUACGGUGAAUACGUUCCCGGGCCUUGUACACACCGCCCGUCACACCAUGGGAGUGGGUUGCAAAAGAAGUAGAUAGCUUAACCUUCGGGAGGGCGUUUACCACUUUGUGAUUCAUGACUGGGGUGAAGUCGUAACAAGGUAGGCGUAGUGCU
RNAcentral lists this ribosomal RNA (527 nucleotides) under uncultured bacterium. Its description in RNAcentral is "bacterial SSU rRNA". It matches the Rfam family "Bacterial small subunit ribosomal RNA", at positions 984 to 1509 of the family's 1533-position model. The record is from RNAcentral.